This is a long non-coding RNA of Bubalus bubalis (water buffalo), 2655 nucleotides long. RefSeq lists it as uncharacterized. Lineage: Eukaryota; Metazoa; Chordata; Mammalia; Artiodactyla; Bovidae. The record is from RefSeq and is a predicted model, not a curated record. The transcript is spliced from 3 exons.
UAUCCACCUUGGAAAACUGUUGGAUUUUGUCUACUGAACCCGAACAUUCUAGGUACAUCCAAGAAAGAAGAAUGCAUGUGUCCAGCAAAACACAUGUACAAGAAUGUUUGCAGCAGCUUUAUUUAUACUUGUCCACUAUGCUGAUAACAUCUUGCCAAUUGGACUCAGGGUACAGGAAAUACUCUGGAUUCCUUAGUAAGAGAAACACAUACCAGACAGCAAAGAUACAUGGUACAAAUUCAGGGGUCUGUCACACAGAUGAAGUUUUUAGGGAUCUCAUGGUCUGGGAAGGAAGAAGGAGCUCUAUAGAGGAUGGUGCGAGCUGCUCUGCUUUUCAGCCUAUGUGGCCUGGCAGAGCCCAAGAUACUGGAGGUGUCCUUUGUGGAUGGAGUCUCUCAAAAGGCCUAAUAUUAGAGGCAUGUUGCAGAUUUUCCAGGAUUCUUGUAACAGCAGGACUUUCUGGUGGAGAACUACUUAUGUUUGAAAAAAAGGAAGCCCUAAAGAGACUGAGUGCCUGACCACAGGAUAUCAAGUAACUGACUAUGUGGCUGAGUUUCACAACACAAGCUACAUGUGAUCAGAUUCGAUGAGUCUUGAGGUCAAGCUGGGCAAGACACACAAAUGCUAGAAUGGCACCUUCAGAUCACAUCUCAGUAGGUCCAGAGGUCACACAAGUAAUCACAUAAAAGGGGUAUCAGUCUCAGAACAGGACUAGAAUUCCACAUCAUCUGUCUCCGUUGCACUGUUGCCUCUCCCUGAAAUUAUACUUAUGCUAUCAAGGGAAUUCCUCAUGACUGAUAGAGAGAAAAGCAGGAAAUAAGGUUUGGUUCACAGAUGAGUCAGCUCAGAAUAUCGGCGCUAACUGAAAAUGGACUUUGCCAUGCUACAGCCACACUCAACAGUAACCUUGAGUGAAGGGAAAUCUGUCCAGUGGGUCAUUCUCUGGAGGGGAAACGAUCUGAAGUAUGGACAUAUGUGGAUCCUUUGAACAGUGGCAGGUGCUUUAGAUAGCUGUUCAGGAGUUUGAGGAAGAGGCAUAUGGACAAAUCUUCGGGAGAGCUCACAAACCGUGUGCACCCUUUCGUCUUCUGUUAUGCCUAGAGAGCACCCACUGAAGGGGAGGCAGUAAACAACCACUCUGUCUGGCCAGAUGGGCAACUCAUCCUGUAGACGCUACUGCCUCUGUUCCCAACCACCUCAGUGCUUGCACAACAGCUCCUCAGAUGAGCUGGCCAUAACAGCUUUUGAGACUAUUCAAGUAUCAGAUAGCAAGGACUCCCUCUCACAAAACUGGAUCUAGUUAUUGUCCCUGCAUGUUGACCUGACUGCCCACAGCAUGGACCAGUGCUGAACCUUCAACGUGACGCCAUCCUUCAAGAAUACUAGCCAGGCACUAGUGAGCGUCUCUGGAAUCCAGACCGUCUGAGCGAUUAUAGAAUGUAUGGUUUACUUGCAUGGGAUUUCACAUGAAAAUACAUCACACUCAGCUGAUCCAUUUUAAAGCAAAGGAAGAUUUAUUGUCCUGGAAGGAUCUGCACCUGGAACUGCCAAUGAAAGACCCCAGCUGAUUCCUCAGGAGUUUUCAUCUCUGAAGAUGGGUAUGGUUCCAAAUCGAGUUAUUCCCCGGUGGCUCAGAUGGUAAAAAAUCUGCUAUCAAUGCAGGAGACCUGGGUUUGAUCCCUGGGCUGGGAAGAUCCCCUGGAGAAGGAAUGGCUACCCACUCCACUAUUCCUGCCUGGAGAAUCCCAUGGACAGAGGAGCCUGGUGGGCUACAGUCCAUGGGGUCACAAAGAGUCGGACAUGCCUAGGUGGCUAACACUUUCACUUUUCUGGUAUGUAAUCAAGCAUUCAUUUCUUGGCCUUAGGUUCUUUAGAACUGUAGCAUUUUGAGCAGAGGUCCUCUCAAUACAAUCUUAAAGCUGAGUACUGGUUAAUUGCGAGAAUAAAUUUAAAAGUUUCUUACAUAGAACUCACCCCUUUCCAAUGCAUCCCUAGGAAUAAAAUAUGACUUCAAAAUUCAUUUCCCGGUCUUAUCAGGCUUCAGUUUCCUGCUUCCCCAUUUAAAAGACAUACCUGAGAGGGAGGUUGCUGUCAUGAUGAGGAGCUGUCUCUGAAAUAACUGAUCCACCAAAUUAUUUAUUUUUGUCUUUUUGGUUGUAGAAGUAAAGGGUGAGCCUAUCCUGCCUGAGAUGGAACAGGACAUGCAAAGAUUUUGCAAUGCCGUUUUGCCCUUUACCAGUGAUGACAUGGACGCUGGUGCUAUGACUCACCCACAAGAGGAUGAAAUUCCAUCAUUCCCCCUCCAUUACUCACAGGCAUUUGAGAAAUAAAGCCUGUGGCCAGGUAACUUGCUGGAUGAACCUCAGAACCUUAGAAUUCUCUGAACAAGUGAGACAACCAAUCCCAAAUGGCAAAUAGUUAGUUUUAAAAAAUGGAAAUGAAAAUGCCCAAGAGGCAAGUAGUUCAUUUCAGGGGCCCCUUUCUUAGGUGAACUAUCACAGGGGAAUAAGGAAACAGGAAAGAUCAAUUGUAUAUAAAUCUAUAAAAAUGUUAAUGAGCUGAUUAGCUCAGAGAAACAUUCUAUUUGUCUCUUAAACAAAAUUGAUUGCUUCAAAGACCUUGUCUGUGCAGACUGAAAAAAAAAACAACCUUCAA